Brassica oleracea var. oleracea is the source of this 970-nucleotide long non-coding RNA. RefSeq lists it as uncharacterized. The record is from RefSeq and is a predicted model, not a curated record. The transcript is spliced from 6 exons. Lineage: Eukaryota; Viridiplantae; Streptophyta; Magnoliopsida; Brassicales; Brassicaceae.
AUGAUGUUGCCUCUGUAACGGCUGAGGUUUUCAUUUAUGUUUUCCUUAGAUCUGUGUAUUUAUAUGCUUUGUACCACCACUCGAACCGGAGGAAGCUCUCCUAUAAAUUUGUACGUUUCCACGGUGAAUUUUUCUUCGGAUAGUGUAUGAGCGAGAGAGAAAGGUUCACAUAGUACGACCGAGGAAGGUUGGAGCCCCGACGAACAGUGGACAGAAGAAGACGAUUGAUGUGUCUGGCAGAGCUGAUUGAAGUUUAUAGUGAGCUGAUAAUACUCAAGGAAUAAGCGCAGGACUAAGAAACUUAUGACUGCUACAAAUAGUGCAGUAGGGGAAAUCGAGUUGCUAAAGGAGUUGCUGUCCAAAGCUUGAUGUUUUUGCUGGUGCCUUUGCUGCUGAUAUUGGAGAUCUUGAGUUAAUCAACUCUUUACUUAAAGCUGGAGCUGAACCUAAUCAGAAAGACGAAGAGGAAGGCAGUAAGAAGUUGCAGCUCCGAGAGAAAACACUCUCUUCCCAUUGACAACAAAACCUGAAACUGUUUCAAAUUGGACCAUUGUUUGAGUUCUCGCUCACAUGGAACCAAAUAAAGAACAAUAGGGAAACUCAAACAAGUCAAAAUCUGGAGAGACUGUGCCUAAGAAAGACCUUGAGCCUCUGCUGGUUUCGGGUUAGGACAAGCUGAACAUGCCUUAUCUGAUGCUAAAGUCUGCAGAGAACUAAAACCUGAUUGGCCUAAAUGAUGUUUCCGAGAAGGUGCUACAGCGAUUUGAUGAGGCAGCCAAUGCUUUUUAUGAGUGAGUAAAGUAAAGCAAAGAGAUCAUUGAUACGUUCAGAGAAACUGUAGAUGCUCGAAGGAAGUUUCACGGCAAGUACAAGAUUAAGGUCAAAACCAUCUAGAAAUGGCUCUGUUUAGUAUAUGUUUCAAGUUUUGUUUCUGCUUCUUACCUUAGUCUCUCCCCUUUGUAGUUUUUUU